RNAcentral lists this ribosomal RNA (400 nucleotides) under uncultured bacterium. RNAcentral's name for it is "bacterial SSU rRNA". It matches the Rfam family "Bacterial small subunit ribosomal RNA", at positions 356 to 773 of the family's 1533-position model. The record is from RNAcentral.
GGGGAAUCUUGCACAAUGGGGGAAACCCUGAUGCAGCGACGCCGCGUGAGCGAUGAAGCCCUUCGGGGUGUAAAGCUCUUUCGGCAGGAACGAUAAUGACGGUACCUGCAGAAGAAGCUGCGGCUAACUACGUGCCAGCAGCCGCGGUAAUACGUAGGCAGCAAGCGUUGUUCGGAGUUACUGGGCGUAAAGAGUGUGUAGGCGGUUUGCCAAGUUUGGUGUGAAAUCUCCCGGCUUAACUGGGAGGGUGCGCCGAAAACUGGCAGGCUCGAGUGCGGGAGAGGAGAGCGGAAUUCCUGGUGUAGCGGUGAAAUGCGUAGAGAUCAGGAGGAACACCUGCGGUGUAGACGGCUCUCUGGACCGCAACUGACGCUGAGACACGAAAGCGUGGGUAGCAAAC